Molecule: long non-coding RNA, 2402 nt
Organism: Pomacea canaliculata
Lineage: Eukaryota; Metazoa; Mollusca; Gastropoda; Architaenioglossa; Ampullariidae
Exons: 7
Source: RefSeq, a predicted model, not a curated record
CAGCGCAAACAACAUGCUCCAAGUUUGCUGGUCAGGCGAGUAAAGUGGUGACUGUUGGUAACACGUGUUAUUAUGGCUUCUCUUCCACUGAGUACUGGGAUAAUGCGCAGACCCGCUGUGAGUCUCAAGGAACUCACCUGGUGCACCUGCAGACGAUAACCAAGCAGAGGGACGUGUACGCUGCUUUAGGUUCCGACUUUACGCAGCACUGGAUGGGUCUGGUGUACCUGAACAGCGAGUGGAAGUGGUACACCAACACCCAGAACACGGUGUCGGCGAUGAAUGACGUGGACACCCGGUGGGAGGGAGGUCAUCGGGGGAGAGUGCCUACACUACCAGCUCCACCAACCAGUGGGUACUCAAGGCCACACAGCGUACGAGCUGGUACAGGGCUGUGUGUGAAGACGGAACAUCGUCUGUAGGAUCCCAAACAGACGUCAGUCCGUCAACAUAUCUUACAACAGUCCCCUCGCAACCUUCCUCUGCAACAGUUGCUGCAACGCAAACAACGUGCUCCAAGUUUGCUGGUCAGGCGAGUAAAGGUGGUGACUGUUGGUAACACGUGUUAUUAUGGCUUCUCUUCCAAUGAGUACUGGGAUGCUGCGCAGACCCGCUGUGAAUCUCAAGGAACUCACCUGGUGCACCUGCAGACGAUAACCAAGCAGAGGACGUGUACGCUGCUCUCGGUCCCGACUUUACGCAGCACUGGAUGGGUCUGGUGUACCUGAACAACGAGUGGGAGUGGUACACCAACACCCAAAACACGGUGUCGGCGAUGAACGACGUGGACACCCGGUGGGAGGGAGGGUCAUCGGGGGAGAGUGCCUACACCACCAGCUCCAGCAACCAGUGGGUACUCAAGGCCACACCGCGUACGAGCUGGUACAGGGCUGUGUGUGAAGACGGAACAUCGUCUGUAGCAUCCACCCUGAGAUCCCCAGAUUCUACAACGACGGCCAUCGUGGUAUCUACUGCUACCCAAAGCUCUACAUUAUCCACAACAGUGGGCUCAACAGUGUCUACUUCCACCCAGAAAUCCACAGUAACCACAUCAGUGAGUUCAGCAUCAUCUUCCUCUUCACAAACAUCGACAGUAUCCACAACAGGGACUACAUUAUCCACAACAGUGGGCUCAACAGUGUCUACUUCCACCCAGAAAUCCACAGUAACCACAUCAGUGAGUUCAGCAUCAUCUUCUUCGACACAAACAUCGACAGUAUCCACAACAGGGACUUCACUACAAUCAUCUAACACAGGGUCAAAAACAACGUCUUAGCAGCAUCUACCCUGGAAUCUCAUUCCUCUUCAGUUGACUCAUCUCCAUCUACCAUAGGUUCGACAGCAUCUACCCAGAAGUUCAACAACGUCAGUGGUAGAUUCCAAAGUUUCUACCACGAACUCCUUCAAAAUCAGUUUGGAUUCAUUUGUACUUCAGACCCCAUCAGCCUCUACAUCAGAUUCAACAUUUUUCACCGUCAACACAACAGCUUCCUCAGUGAACUCAGCAAGAUCAACCUUGAACUCAUCAGCGUCUGCAGCAGACAGCAAUACUUCCACUGCCGUUACAACAACAAUGACUACUAAGAGUUCAACUAAUCCUAUCUACAUAGGCAUCUUCUACAGGCGAAGUUCACUGACUGGAACUCGACUGCUGUACCAGAGCUCGUGUGCGAGCAAGCGAGAAUGCGCAAGCAACGUGCCUCGAGGUUCAGGAAUGCCGCCAUUUUGUCUUUGAAAGAGUAAGGAACACUUGUUUGCUUGUCCAGGAGGAUCUAGGAGCGACACCUACUUGGACACAUGGCUGCGCCUCUCCUUACACGUGUUACACUCUGAGGUGACUUGGCACUCCAGGAUCGUUCAUGGAAUUUUUGUGACUUCAGACACUGACAGACAACCCGUUCAUUCCUUUUCAUUAUCAGUCUCGCUGGUUUAUAAAAUGAUCCGGUGAUCCGAUCUUUAUGCUUAAAUUAUCUAUGUCCUAUUAAACCUUGCUGUUAAUUUUUUGUCACAUUGAAGUACUUGUUUAUAAAUUUACUCAAAAUGAUCUUAAAUGAUAUUAGUUUCCGUGUGUUUGAAAUAUUUGAUAUUGUCCCCUUUAGAGACUAGAAUGUUUUCAAUUUAUUCUCUGCGUGCAUAAAAGCUAUUCAUUUUGAUUCAUAGCCAAUGUUUUAGCCUCAUCAUGGCUUUCUGGGAUUUUAAACGACGGUUAUUUACAAAAUUUGCCAAUUAUCUGUCCUCACCAGACAGAGCACGAUGUCAUUUCUUUCGUGUUUUUUUUAUCCUUCUUUUGUUCUUUUGUUUGCUAAGUUUGACAUUGCUCAGAAAGUUGUACACAGAACUCUUUUCUAAGCCACCACCACCCCACAACCAUCACCACCACCACCACCACUACUGCAGCAGCA